This is a long non-coding RNA of Rhagoletis zephyria (snowberry fruit fly), 239 nucleotides long. RefSeq lists it as uncharacterized. NCBI's taxonomy places the organism in Eukaryota, Metazoa, Arthropoda, Insecta, Diptera, Tephritidae. The record is from RefSeq and is a predicted model, not a curated record.
AAACAACGCUAAAAAAUGUAAAUUUUGUUCAAAUUAUUAAAAAGUAAAAUAUGUGACAUACUUUUCAAUUUUCGCUCCUAAAUACGCUCCAAAAACCUUCCCAGCAACCACAAAGGUGCAGUUGCCUGUAUACACACUUUAUAACAACUGCAGUUGUCAGUUGAAAGUUGCCUGAUGCCAUCUGUAAUAUCGUUUCGGCAACUAGUAACGCAACUGAAGUUCGCUUGCUAUCGAUAAUC